AAAACGACUCUCGGCAACGGAUAUCUUGGCUCACGCAUCGAUGAAGAACGUAGCAAAAUGCGAUACUUGGUGUGAAUUGCAGAAUCCCGUGAACCAUCGAGUUUUUGAACGCAAGUUGCGCCCGAAGCCAUCUGGUUGAGGGCACGUCUGCCUGGGCGUCACGC
This 164-nucleotide ribosomal RNA is filed under the name Bahia ambrosioides. RNAcentral's name for it is "5.8S subunit". It matches the Rfam family "5.8S ribosomal RNA". Rfam says of the family: 5.8S ribosomal RNA (5.8S rRNA) is a component of the large subunit of the eukaryotic ribosome. It is transcribed by RNA polymerase I as part of the 45S precursor that also contains 18S and 28S rRNA. Functionally, it is thought that 5.8S rRNA may be involved in ribosome translocation. Lineage: Eukaryota; Viridiplantae; Streptophyta; Magnoliopsida; Asterales; Asteraceae. The record is from RNAcentral.